GUACCCUUUAUCUUUGCUGAGAUCCGGCUGAGAUUAAAGUAUCAUCCUUUUCCAUCAACUCACUAUAGAUCUGUGAUCUCCCUUCUCUCAUGCAAGAACAACCUCAGGCAAAGUUCCUCCAGUCAUGUGGUGACCACCCCAGUUUCUCUCAUUCUCACGCUGGGGAUAACUCAGUCUUGUGUGUCACAUGAGGAUUUGACAGACAGGCCCAGCUGUGGCAGUCAGGCGCCAGAGCAUCACAGCCUCCAAGUCCAAGGCAGACAAGGCCCAAACCCAGAACAAUUCAGUCUUUGUGGCUCUACUGGAAACCAUCAACCGCAUCCAAAUGACCGAGCAGCCGAUCAUGUAAUCGGGAUCUCCAAGAAGCCACGAUAAUGCCUUGUAAAGCCUUCACUGUGAUGUGCUCACAGUGAUCUGGUGGGAGACUCAUUUGUCCUUUUGCUGGCUAAUUACAGAGAGUCGUGCGACCACCCCCUGCGUUCCCAGGCAACCUUUCACCUCUGAGGUGUUGAGCAGGCAAUUACUCUUCCUGGCUUCUGUGUGAAGGGUACAGACACAAACUGGCUAUUCCUCUCCCUCUCUCUCUGGAGUAUUCACAGUAUUUGGACAACAUACAAGUGCUAAACACACACACCCAUCUGCAGAUGGUGGUGCUGAGAGGACGUUGCCCUCCAUCUGACCCGCAUCUGAUUCACCUUGAGCAAGGCAAGCUGUUGGCAACAGACACCAAGCCACAGAGUUCGCCCGUGCUGUGACACUGUUGUGUAAUCUAUGAGGAAGCUGCUCUGUAAUAAAUAAAUCUGGCUGAAGAAGUCCAUCUGGGAACAACAUUUUUCUGUAGAGCUAUCCUGACGUGAUGCCUGGUGGGCUUUAUAAAUAUCCUGAGCCCAUCCGCGCAAUGUGAACUGUGUUUCACCCUCCCACACCCUUCCCCUUUGAGUGUUUGCCUUCUGCUUGCGGUGAAAAGCAGGCUUUACUUUGCUUUGUUUGUCCCUCAGUGCU
Molecule: long non-coding RNA, 1002 nt
Organism: Monopterus albus (swamp eel)
Lineage: Eukaryota; Metazoa; Chordata; Actinopteri; Synbranchiformes; Synbranchidae
Exons: 4
Source: RefSeq, a predicted model, not a curated record